Sarcophilus harrisii (Tasmanian devil) is the source of this 150-nucleotide microRNA precursor. Ensembl annotates it as sha-mir-101. Its record names the gene sha-mir-101. The record is from Ensembl. NCBI's taxonomy places the organism in Eukaryota, Metazoa, Chordata, Mammalia, Dasyuromorphia, Dasyuridae.
GUGGAGCAAGGCUCCGGAUGCCUCGGCCUUUGUGCGGAUGUGAUCACUGACGGGCUGCCCUGGCUCAGUUAUCACAGUGCUGAUGCUGUCCGUUCUCAAGGUACAGUACUGUGAUAACUGAAGGAUGGCAGCCAUCUUGCCACCGGUCAC